GAUGAACGCUAGCUACAGGCUUAACACAUGCAAGUCGAGGGGAAACGACAUCGAAAGCUUGCUUUUGAUGGGCGUCGACCGGCGCACGGGUGAGUAACGCGUAUCCAACCUGCCCAUCACUUGGGAAUAACCUUGCGAAAGUAAGACUAAUACCCAAUGAUAUCCCACGAAGGCAUCGGAAUGGGAUUAAAGAUUUAUCGGUGAUGGAUGGGGAUGCGUCUGAUUAGCUUGUUGGCGGGGUAACGGCCCACCAAGGCAACGAUCAGUAGGGGUUCUGAGAGGAAGGUCCCCCACAUUGGAACUGAGACACGGUCCAAACUCCUACGGGAGGCAGCAGUGAGGAAUAUUGGUCAAGGGGCGAGAGCCUGAACCAGCCAAGUAGCGUGCAGGAAGACGGCCCUAUGGGUUGUAAACUGCUUUUAUAAGGGAAUAAAGUGGGUCACGUGUGACUUUUUGCAUGUACCUUAUGAAUAAGGACCGGCUAAUUCCGUG
This 492-nucleotide ribosomal RNA is filed under the name uncultured bacterium. RNAcentral's name for it is "partial 16S ribosomal RNA". It matches the Rfam family "Bacterial small subunit ribosomal RNA", at positions 28 to 507 of the family's 1533-position model. The record is from RNAcentral.